GAUGAACGCUGGCGGCGUGCCUAAUACAUGCAAGUCGAGCGAACAGACGAGGAGCUUGCUCCUCUGACGUUAGCGGCGGACGGGUGAGUAACACGUGGAUAACCUACCUAUAAGACUGGGAUAACUUCGGGAAACCGGAGCUAAUACCGGAUAAUAUAUUGAACCGCAUGGUUCAAUAGUGAAAGACGGUUUUGCUGUCACUUAUAGAUGGAUCCGCACCGCAUUAGCUAGUUGGUAAGGUAACGGCUUACCAAGGCAACGAUGCGUAGCCGACCUGAGAGGGUGAUCGGCCACACUGGAACUGAGACACGGUCCAGACUCCUACGGGAGGCAGCAGUAGGGAAUCUUCCGCAAUGGGCGAAAGCCUGACGGAGCAACGCCGUGUGAGUGAUGAAGGUCUUCGGAUCGUAAAACUCUGUUAUUAGGGAAGAACAAAUGUGUAAGUAACUAUGCACGUCUUGACGGUACCUAAUCAGAAAGCCACGGCUAACUACGUG
This 497-nucleotide ribosomal RNA is filed under the name uncultured bacterium. RNAcentral describes it as "partial 16S ribosomal RNA". It matches the Rfam family "Bacterial small subunit ribosomal RNA", at positions 28 to 507 of the family's 1533-position model. The record is from RNAcentral.